UACGUAGGAGGCAAGCGUUGUCCGGAAUUACUGGGCGUAAAGCGCGUGUAGGCGGUCUGAAUAGUCUGCUGUGAAAGCGCCUGGCUUAACCGGGCGAGGUCGGCGGAAACUCGCAGACUGGAGGCCGGUAGAGGGGGGUGGAAUUCCCGGUGUAGUGGUGAAAUGCGUAGAGAUCGGGAGGAACACCUGUGGCGAAGGCGGCCCCCUGGGCCGCGCCUGACGCUGAGACGCGAAGGCUAGGGGAGCGAACGGG
Molecule: ribosomal RNA, 253 nt
Filed under: uncultured bacterium
Lineage: Bacteria
Description: partial 16S ribosomal RNA
Rfam family: Bacterial small subunit ribosomal RNA
Source: RNAcentral